This 798-nucleotide ribosomal RNA is filed under the name uncultured Rhizophagus. Its description in RNAcentral is "SSU rRNA". It matches the Rfam family "Eukaryotic small subunit ribosomal RNA", at positions 314 to 1114 of the family's 1831-position model. Lineage: Eukaryota; Fungi; Glomeromycota; Glomeromycetes; Glomerales; Glomeraceae. The record is from RNAcentral.
AUCAACUUUCGAUGGUAGGAUAGAGGCCUACCAUGGUGGUAACGGGUAACGGGGUGUUAGGGCACGACACCGGAGAGGGAGCCUGAGAAACGGCUACCACAUCCAAGGAUGGCAGCAGGCGCGCAAAUUACCCAAUCCCGACACGGGGAGGUAGUGACAAUAAAUAACAAUACGGGGUUCUUUCGGAUCUCGUAAUUGGAAUGAGUACAAUUUAAAUCUCUUAACGAGGAACAAUUGGAGGGCAAGUCUGGUGCCAGCAGCCGCGGUAAUUCCAGCUCCAAUAGCGUAUAUUAAAGUUGUUGCAGUUAAAAAGCUCGUAGUUGAAUUUCGGGGUCAGUAGAUUGGUCGUGCCACUGUACGUACUGGUCUCACUGAUUCCUCCUUCCUGAUGAACCGUAAUGCCAUUAAUUUGGUGUUGCGGGGAAACUGGACUGUUACUUUGAAAAAAUUAGAGUGUUUAAAGCAGGCUAACGCUUGAAUACAUUAGCAUGGAAUAAUGAAAUAGGACGUUCGAUCCUAUUUUGUUGGUUUCUAGGAUUGACGUAAUGAUUAAUAGGGAUAGUUGGGGGCAUUAGUAUUCAAUUGUCAGAGGUGAAAUUCUUGGAUUUAUUGAAGACUAACUACUGCGAAAGCAUUUGCCAAGGAUGUUUUCAUUAAUCAAGAACGAAAGUUAGGGGAUCGAAGACGAUCAGAUACCGUCGUAGUCUUAACCAUAAACUAUGCCGACUAGGGAUCGGAUGAUGUUAAUUUUUUAAUGACUCAUUCGGCGCCUUACGGGAAACCAAAGUGUUUGGGUUC